Molecule: long non-coding RNA, 213 nt
Organism: Vigna radiata var. radiata (mung bean)
Lineage: Eukaryota; Viridiplantae; Streptophyta; Magnoliopsida; Fabales; Fabaceae
Exons: 2
Source: RefSeq, a predicted model, not a curated record
CAUAUUUCUAAUGAAGAGGUUAAGCAUGGAUGAAGUGUAAAAUUGCACCAGAAAUUGAUAGCUAGAGGUACAAGCUUUCAGGUAUUGCCGAAAACUCAAGGAUAGCUAGAGUUGAAGCAAUGUAGUUUAAGUAAUGAUUGGAAAAUACAUUUGGAAGCUUGUCGAACCAGUCUCGUGAUAUGUUGCUGCCAAUUUAAGUAGUGAUUGGAAAAA